Molecule: non-coding RNA, 23 nt
Filed under: Mus musculus (house mouse)
Lineage: Eukaryota; Metazoa; Chordata; Mammalia; Rodentia; Muridae
Source: RNAcentral
AACACAUCAGUAGUAAGCCUCAA